UACAGAGGUCUCAAGCGUUGUUCGGAUUCAUUGGGCGUAAAGGGUGCGUAGGCGGCGCGGUAAGUCGGGUGUGAAAUCUCGGAGCUUAACUCCGAAACUGCAUUCGAUACUGCCGUGCUUGAGGACUGGAGAGGAGACUGGAAUUUACGGUGUAGCGGUGAAAUGCGUAGAUAUCGUAAGGAACACCGAUAGUGAAGACAGCUAACUAAGCUUUAACUGACGCUGAGGCACGAAAGUGUGGGGAUCAAACAGG
This 253-nucleotide ribosomal RNA is filed under the name uncultured bacterium. RNAcentral describes it as "partial 16S ribosomal RNA". It matches the Rfam family "Bacterial small subunit ribosomal RNA", at positions 524 to 776 of the family's 1533-position model. The record is from RNAcentral.